This 508-nucleotide long non-coding RNA is filed under the name Homo sapiens (human). RNAcentral's name for it is "non-protein coding PCAT1:57". The record is from RNAcentral. Lineage: Eukaryota; Metazoa; Chordata; Mammalia; Primates; Hominidae.
CCAACGCAUCCAUCCCCAGAGGAACAAGCGAGGAUCUCAGAGCGCGACCUGGACAGGCUCUCACAAAAGUCACCGCGUUUGUGUAGGUAACUAAGGCCUACCGAAACCAGUCAGCCCUAAGUGCACACAGGAGAACCAUGGAGUUGGAGGAAAAGUGUCUUGCCUUAGACGACGUUUGAGAAUUUGUCAGAACAGGGCCUGGAGGGAAUAAAAAGGAGGUGAGAAGUCUCUGUAGAGAUCAUCAACAUGGCCCAUCUCUCCUUAAAAGUAAGCCAAGUAAACUCACUUAUUAGAAGAAUGACAUCAUCAGGACUGUUUCUGAGAAAGCCUACUUCUGCUCCUUACCAUAUGUAGAAAUAUAAUUUCAUAUUAAAGACCAAGAAUUCAGACAUCAUCCUGGUGCAUACAUCAGGAUUGCAACGAUAAAUGCUUUGGAAAUGUCAUUGGAGGAAGGUAAUGUUUGACAUAGGAAAGAGAAGACUUGUGGGAACAUGGCUGCUGUUUCUAA